GGGAGAUGGCUCAAUAGUUAAAAGCACUGGAUNNUNUUCCAGAGGACCUGGGUUUGAUUCCCAGCACCCA
RNAcentral lists this transfer RNA (70 nucleotides) under Neotoma lepida (desert woodrat). It matches the Rfam family "tRNA". From Rfam's summary of the family: Transfer RNA (tRNA) molecules are approximately 80 nucleotides in length. The record is from Rfam by way of RNAcentral. Lineage: Eukaryota; Metazoa; Chordata; Mammalia; Rodentia; Cricetidae.